Molecule: long non-coding RNA, 823 nt
Organism: Fundulus heteroclitus (mummichog)
Lineage: Eukaryota; Metazoa; Chordata; Actinopteri; Cyprinodontiformes; Fundulidae
Exons: 3
Source: RefSeq, a predicted model, not a curated record
CUGAAAGUCCUUUGGGGUUCCUAUCUUUAUAGUGACUCAGGCCAUCAGUUAUAGAGUUAAAAUGGAGCUGAGGAGGGAAUGGCUGUCUCAGGUGACAAAAGAAAUUAAAAACAGCCCCCUGGCAACUAAUUUCUUUUUUGGAAUAGUCCAGUUGAUCGCUGAGGGACUGGUGGGAAUGGAGUUUUCUUGCCCUUGCGACGCUAGAUACAACAGAAUGUACACUUCAGUAUUUUUCAUUGUUCCACCAAUUAUAGUAUUUUUACUAGCCGUGGGAAUUAGACCAUUCUGUAAACCAUGUAAAUCAAUCUUCGAUUGCCUAAAUAUAACCAUAGUUCCAACAGCGUUAUGGCUGGUAAUAUUGUUGACUGAUGGCCGUUAUUAUGCCUGUUUAUUAACCAACUGGACAGGAAAGUAUGAAAUAAUUGAGAAUGCUGCACCCCAGUAUUGGUGUAAACCAGUCAACUCAUCUCAGGAAUUACUGUCCAAAAUCCAGCUAAUGUAUGCUGAAUCACAGUUCUAUGGAUUGUACACAGCACUUGGAAUGACCGUGUUUUAUUUGGUAUGGAUGUACGGCUCCAGAUAUUCCAGCCGCCACUGCAGCCAAAAUAAUGAAAAUCCAGAAGCUCCAGGAAAUGAAGAGAAUGAGCGUGUCGAACUAAACCAACAACCUUGAAAGAAAUAAGAAACUAUUGUAAGAAAAGGCAACCCUAAAACAAUGUAAUUAUGUGCUUUACAUAUAAUAAGAUUAAGUAUUCAUAGCCAUACAAUCCAAUGUUAUUAUUUCAAUUAUAGUUUCUAAAUGCUAUUAAAUCAUAUAUUCAUA